Molecule: non-coding RNA, 838 nt
Organism: Coffea arabica (coffee)
Lineage: Eukaryota; Viridiplantae; Streptophyta; Magnoliopsida; Gentianales; Rubiaceae
Source: RefSeq, a predicted model, not a curated record
UGACAGAGAACUUGUUCUGAUUGGAAAAAAUUUCACACCCACUGAAAAGCUAUGGUUGCAACAAACACAGUAAAGCGAACGAGGUUCAAGAGCAUCUAAUACUGCCUUCUUUCUCUCCUAUGGGUUGUCAUUUGUAAAGACUAAAGACUAGGUAGCUACAGAAACCAACCACAUUUUCAUUUUCCCGAUCAAAUUGAGAGACCAAUGGGGGGUGAUUUUAUUCAUCAGAAGCCAUCUUACUUCUCCGGAUGCAUGUCUCCCUCGUGCGUUCCUGUACACGAAGAGUACUCCCGCAUUGACAUUGGCGACCGUGGCAGCAAUGGAAGAAGCAGCAGGAGAUUGAAAAGGCUGAUUAAGAAGCUUAUGAGUGAGAGCAAGAGCAUUUACGGGUCCAAACCUACAAGAUUCCAUUAUGAUGCCGUUAGCUACUCGCAGAAUUUUGAUGAGGGAUGCCACAAAGAUGAAUAUCCAAGGUGCCAGCAAGUGUUUCAAGAAUUUAGAUGCCAUGUACAGCACAAGUAAUUUUGAUUUCUGUUUAUUUUGAUUUCUUCGACUGGAUUGCUUAGAUAUACUACUGUUAUUUAAUAUCCUCUAGGUAGCUAGGAGCCCGGGAUAGCUCUGAUUGAGUUGGAACUACGAAGCAUAUGUAUUUUCAGUCUAAUUAUUAGGGUCUGAUAAUAAUUGCGGGGGUCUCAUGCUUACAGUCAUAAUCUUGUGGACGUUUUACAAAAUUUGGGAGAAUUAAUCUCCCAGAGCGAUGAAACCGUUGGUGUACAAUAUGGAAGAUUGCCAAAUAAAAAAAAAAGGUGAAAUGGAAGCAAUGCUAGUUUUUGCACAA